This 71-nucleotide transfer RNA is filed under the name Fukomys damarensis (Damara mole-rat). It matches the Rfam family "tRNA". Rfam says of the family: Transfer RNA (tRNA) molecules are approximately 80 nucleotides in length. Lineage: Eukaryota; Metazoa; Chordata; Mammalia; Rodentia; Bathyergidae. The record is from Rfam by way of RNAcentral.
AGACAUGUAGCUCAGUGGUAAAGCACUUGGCUACCAUGCAAGCAGCCUGGAUUCCAUCCCCAGCACCUCAA